RNAcentral lists this ribosomal RNA (486 nucleotides) under uncultured bacterium. RNAcentral's name for it is "bacterial SSU rRNA". It matches the Rfam family "Bacterial small subunit ribosomal RNA", at positions 903 to 1397 of the family's 1533-position model. The record is from RNAcentral.
AAAGGAAUUGACGGGGGCCCGCACAAGCAGUGGAUUAUGUGGUUUAAUUCGAAGCAACGCGAAGAACCUUACCAGGUCUUGACAUCGAGUGACGUUCCAAGAGAUUGGAAUUUCCUUCGGGACACGAAGACAGGUGGUGCAUGGUUGUCGUCAGCUCGUGUCGUGAGAUGUUGGGUUAAGUCCCGCAACGAGCGCAACCCUUGCCAUUAGUUGCUACGCGAGAGCACUCUAAUGGGACCGCUACCGACAAGGUGGAGGAAGGUGGGGAUGACGUCAAAUCAUCAUGCCCCUUAUGACCUGGGCUACACACGUAAUACAAUGGCCGUCAACAGAGGGAAGCCAAACCGCGAGGUGGAGCAAAACCCCAAAAACGGUCUCAGUUCGGAUCGCAGGCUGCAACCCGCCUGCGUGAAGCUGGAAUUGCUAGUAAUCGCGGAUCAGCAUGCCGCGGUGAAUACGUUCCCGGGCCUUGUACACACCGCCCGU